RNAcentral lists this ribosomal RNA (162 nucleotides) under uncultured bacterium. Its description in RNAcentral is "partial 16S ribosomal RNA". It matches the Rfam family "Bacterial small subunit ribosomal RNA", at positions 1340 to 1500 of the family's 1533-position model. The record is from RNAcentral.
AGUGGCAGGUCAGCAUACUGCCGUGAAUACGUUCCCCGGGCCCUUGUACACACCGCCCGUCACACCAUGAGAGUUGGGAAUACCCGAAGCCUGUGAGCUAACUUUUAGAGGCAGCAGUCGAAGGUAGAAUCAAUGAUUGGGGUGAAGUCGUAACAAGGUAUC